RNAcentral lists this ribosomal RNA (459 nucleotides) under uncultured bacterium. RNAcentral's name for it is "partial 16S ribosomal RNA". It matches the Rfam family "Bacterial small subunit ribosomal RNA", at positions 338 to 795 of the family's 1533-position model. The record is from RNAcentral.
CCUACGGGAGGCAGCAGUGAGGAAUAUUGGUCAAUGGCCGGAAGGCUGAACCAGCCAAGUCGCGUGAGGGACGACUGCCCUAUGGGUUGUAAACCUCUUUUAUAAGGGAGGAAUAAAUGCUACGUGUAGCAUGAUGCCUGUACCUUAUGAAUAAGCAUCGGCUAACUCCGUGCCAGCAGCCGCGGUAAUACGGAGGAUGCGAGCGUUAUCCGGAUUUAUUGGGCUUAAAGGGUGCGUAGGCGGUUUUUUAAGUGUGUGGUUAAACGGCGGGGCUUAACCCUGAAUUGCCAUUGAUACUGUAAAGCUAGAGUUCGAACGAGGUAAGUGGAAUUAGAUGAGUAGCGGUAAAAUGCGUAAAUAUAACUAAGAACACCGGUAGCGAAGGCAGCUUACCGGGCCGAGACUGACGCUGAAGCACGAGAGCGUGGGUAGCGAACAGGAUUAGAUACCCGAGUAGUC